GAAUGCUGACAUAAGUAACGAUAAAGCGGGUGAAAAGCCCGCUCGCCGGAAGACCAAGGGUUCCUGUCCAACGUUAAUCGGGGCAGGGUGAGUCGACCCCUAAGGCGAGGCCGAAAGGCGUAGUCGAUGGGAAACGGGUUAAUAUUCCCGUACUUGGUGUUACUGCGAAGGGGGGACGGAGAAGGCUAUGUUGGCCGGGCGACGGUAGUCCCGGUUUAAGCGUGUAGGCUGGUUUUCCAGGCAAAUCCGGAAAAUCAAGGCUGAGGCGUGAUGACGAGGCACCACGGUGCUGAAGCAACAAAUGCCCUGCUUCCAGGAAAAGCCUCUAAGCAUCAGGUAACAUCAAAUCGUACCCCAAACCGACACAGGUGGUCAGGUAGAGAAUACCAAGGCGCUUGAGAGAACUCGGGUGAAGGAACUAGGCAAAAUGGUGCCGUAACUUCGGGAGAAGGCACGCUGACACGUAGGUGAAGUGAUUUACUCAUGGAGCUGAAGUCAGUCGAAGAUACCAGCUGGCUGCAACUGUUUAUUAAAAACACAGCACUGUGCAAACACGAAAGUGGACGUAUACGGUGUGACGCCUGCCCGGUGCCGGAAGGUUAAUUGAUGGGGUCAGCGCAAGCGAAGCUCCUGAUCGAAGCCCCGGUAAACGGCGGCCGUAACUAUAACGGUCCUAAGGUAGCGAAAUUCCUUGUCGGGUAAGUUCCGACCUGCACGAAUGGCGUAAUGAUGGCCAGGCUGUCUCCACCCGAGACUCAGUGAAAUUGAACUCGCUGUGAAGAUGCAGUGUACCCGCGGCAAGACGGAAAGACCCCGUGAACCUUUACUAUAGCUUGACACUGAACAUUGAGCCUUGAUGUGUAGGAUAGGUGGGAGGCUUUGAAGCGUGGACGCCAGUCUGCGUGGAGCCGACCUUGAAAUACCACCCUUUAAUGUUUGAUGUUCUAACGUGGACCCGUAAUCCGGGUUGCGGACAGUGUCUGGUGGGUAGUUUGACUGGGGCGGUCUCCUCCUAAAGAGUAACGGAGGAGCACGAAGGUUGGCUAAUCCUGGUCGGACAUCAGGAGGUUAGUGCAAUGGCAUAAGCCAGCUUGACUGCGAGCGUGACGGCGCGAGCAGGUGCGAAAGCAGGUCAUAGUGAUCCGGUGGUUCUGAAUGGAAGGGCCAUCGCUCAACGGAUAAAAGGUACUCCGGGGAUAACAGGCUGAUACCGCCCAAGAGUUCAUAUCGACGGCGGUGUUUGGCACCUCGAUGUCGGCUCAUCACAUCCUGGGGCUGAAGUAGGUCCCAAGGGUAUGGCUGUUCGCCAUUUAAAGUGGUACGCGAGCUGGGUUUAGAACGUCGUGAGACAGUUCGGUCC
Molecule: ribosomal RNA, 1360 nt
Filed under: Salmonella enterica
Lineage: Bacteria; Pseudomonadati; Pseudomonadota; Gammaproteobacteria; Enterobacterales; Enterobacteriaceae
Description: partial 23S ribosomal RNA
Rfam family: Bacterial large subunit ribosomal RNA
Source: RNAcentral